Molecule: RNA transcript, 2195 nt
Organism: Anguilla rostrata (American eel)
Lineage: Eukaryota; Metazoa; Chordata; Actinopteri; Anguilliformes; Anguillidae
Gene: drc3
Gene name: dynein regulatory complex subunit 3
Exons: 13
Source: RefSeq, a predicted model, not a curated record
GUGUCGGGCGUCUGUUUGUAGCCUAGUGAGCUAGCCAGCAAUUCAGAGCAGUUAACUCCAGUUCGACAAAUAAAGCGAAAAGGGGUAGGUUUAGACAAGGUACCCGUAUCAUACAAUAUGAUUAUUGGAUUCUGUGGUGCUGUGUGAUAAAUCGAAAAACGCUGCAUGCUUUAGUGAGCCGUUUCAAGUGUAUUUGACGCAGCGCUACCGGACACGGCGGGAUGUUAGACACGGAUGAGCCCACGGUGGUGGGCGAGGAGAUGCUCCAGCAGGCGGUGGAGGAGCAGGGUCCAAAGGGUCAGGCUGGAAUAAUCGCCAAGCAGGAGGGCAUCGAGCUGAAGGACGUACUGCAUUUACGCCUGGACUACAGGCACAUCCUAAAGAUUGACCACUUGUGGCAGUUCACCUCCUUGACCAAGCUACAGCUUGAUAACAACAUUAUUGAGAAGAUUACAGGACUGGAAUUCCUCACUAACCUGGUGUGGCUGGAUCUGUCAUUCAACCACAUUGAGGUGAUCGAGGGCCUGGAUGCCCUGGUGAAGCUGGAGGACCUCAGCCUGUCCAACAACAGCAUCUCCACAAUGGAGAACAUGGACACCCUGGUCAACCUGCAUGUCCUCUCCAUCUGCAACAACAAGCUGUCCCAGUUGGACAACGUGAUCUACCUUCGGAAGUUUAAGAAUCUGCGUGCCCUGAACCUUGCGGGUAACCCCCUUUCCACAGAGGAGUGCUAUACGGAGUUCAUAGCAGCCUACCUGCCAGAACUGGCUUACCUGGACUUCCGCUUGGUGGAUGUGCAAACUAGGGAGGAAGCUCUGGCAAAGUAUCAGUACGCCCUGGAGGAGCUGAUCCACAAUGAGACCCAGGAGCUGAAAGCCAUUGAGGCCAAGAACAAGAAGGAGGAGGAGAUACAGCAGCACAGGGAGGCCUUUGUGGAGUUCCUGAAUGGUCCGCAGCUGUUUGAAAGCAUGUAUGCAGAUGACACCGAGGCGGAAAGACUGGCGUACCUCCCUGGAGUGCCCGCGUUGGUGGAAACCUAUCAGAGCCAGAUGGUGGUGCUGUGUGUGCAGCUGUUUGAGCUGGGCAUGGCACAGAAGCUUGCACGGGAUGCAGAGGUGAAAUGUUUCUUUGACUGUUUCCACGAGGCCGUGGAGGACAACCAGAAGGUGGCGUCAGAGCUGAUCGUGGAGUUUGAGAAGGCGAGGAGAGAGAUGCUGCUGGAGAUGCCGAGGAUGACGGACCGGGAGGAGCUGCUGUCCCGGAUAGAGCAGGGCAGCAAGGAAACCCGCAACCUCCACGACACGCUCAUGACCCUGGAGCUCCAACUGGCCGACCAGCUGGAGGAUGUGGUAAAGGACUUUGAGAGAAACGUUUCUGACAUGGUGUCAAGCUUCAUUGAGGCCGCACAGGGGAUCUUCUCUCAAUGCCGCGAUCUGCAGAACAACCACAACGAGAAGCUCCUGGAGAUCUCCAUGGCGACGCUGGAGAAGGUGGCCAAGAACGAGCUGGAGGAGGACUCUCUGGAUGAGCUGCGAGCGCUAUUGGUGGAUAAAGACACAGUGGUAGGUGCCAUUGGUGCCUCGCACGACACUCACCUGCUGAAGAUCGACAACCGGGAAGACGAGCUGGUGACCCGCAUCAACAGCUGGGUGGCUGCCCUCAUGAAGUCGGUAGGGAGGGGGGCGAGCGCCGAAAUUAAGAGUUUGCAUGAAUAAUGGAAAAAAGGAAUGCGCCUUCCAAAAUGUAAAGAAAAUACGGAUAACCGAUUCACCACGACGAGGUGGCCAGGAAUCGCAAGCGGAUUGCAGAGAUUCACAACUACAUCGACUACGUGACGGACCAGCUGGAAGACAUGAGUCCUUCAUAAGCUUACACAGAGAUCCUUUUCAGGGACCUUUCUAUCACUAAAUCACCAUCCCCAUGGACACAUGUCUAAGGUUUAUGCACACAUUUUUCCACUCGACCUUUAAAAAUGCAAUUUCAGUGCAACUGCUAUAGCUGUGUCAUUCUGAAAGGGGUUUGUCCUGUGGAGGUAAAGUCUAAAUGCUCUGGAAUGUAGUAGCUAUGUCAUAAGGAUCUAAAAUAUUUCUGUUGUAUUACUUGUUUGAUAAUAAUCACUUGUGGAAAUGAUACUGUCUGUGUAUUUCAGUUUCUGUGACGAUCUCCGCAGCCAUGAUAAACUCUCCUGACCAUCA